Molecule: long non-coding RNA, 276 nt
Filed under: Canis lupus familiaris (dog)
Lineage: Eukaryota; Metazoa; Chordata; Mammalia; Carnivora; Canidae
Description: lncRNA (ENSCAFG00000055033.1)
Source: RNAcentral
GCCAAAGGCAGGCGCCAAACUGCUGAGCCACCCAGGGAUCCCCUAGUACAUUAUUUUUUAAUGUUAAAGAUUAAGUGAGAUUUUAUUGAAACAGAUCUUAUUAGUAAAUACAUAAGUAAAGUAGUUCAAAACAUUAGUAAAAUAGCAUUCAGCACUUUUUACUAAAUUUUACAAGUUUUUAUCUUUUUUUAGGAACCGUCAAGAAAAGAAGAUUUGUUGUGACAAUACAAAGUUCAAACUGGAAAAUUGGAAGUGAAUUGUGAACCUGUAAUGCCA